CCGGAGGGCCAAAAAAGAAUACAUUAUUACAAGGCUCGAGCACACGGCUUGGAAGGGAUACACCGGAGGCCACUUCAAGCUGCAAACUUCUCUUCCCGUUUCUGUCCUUCCUAGCCGCAUUUUCCAGUGCGUGUGACAAGCUUGUCGGCUCUCGCCCCCACCUUGUUCCGCUCCACCUCCGAAAUUCCAACCCUAGGGGGAAAAGGAUGGGAUAGAUUCCAGGGGGCAGUAAGGGCAACGACAGCGGCGAUGAAGACCUGUUUCAAGAAGAACCGGAGUUAUCCCGGAGGCAGCAAUGGCGCCAGAGAUAUGCGCCAUCAUCGAAUGCUCCAUGACAACCACCAUCCUAAGUGUUCCGGCA
RNAcentral lists this long non-coding RNA (361 nucleotides) under Elaeis guineensis (African oil palm). RNAcentral's name for it is "long non-coding RNA (EGUI_LNC053315)". The record is from RNAcentral. Lineage: Eukaryota; Viridiplantae; Streptophyta; Magnoliopsida; Arecales; Arecaceae.